This 805-nucleotide small RNA is filed under the name Vigna angularis var. angularis. RNAcentral's name for it is "Non-protein coding transcript". Lineage: Eukaryota; Viridiplantae; Streptophyta; Magnoliopsida; Fabales; Fabaceae. The record is from RNAcentral.
UUAUGACCUCAUGUCGUACUAAGAUUUUAACAAAGUACUCUAAAAUGCAAGAACUAUUCCUAAUUAAGACAGAUUAAUAUGUGCAUGCAAUGUGGAUGACUAAUACAAUCAAAAUGUUAAUAGCAAUGACUGGAAAUAGAAAUGAUUAACCAAUUUUAAUAUGGAGAUGCAAUGAAAUGUGUCUCGCUUAUUCAGAAUGCAAAAUAACAAUUUUAUAACUGUUUGAUAAAAGUUCUUUUAAGAACUAAAAAUGAGAAUUGUGGAGAAUCAAUGCAUGAAAUCAUGUCUACUAUAUCCUAAUAAUGCAAGCUCAAUGCAAUAUGAGUUGGUGCUAAGAAUGCCUAAUUAACGCAUAAACUGAACAGAACUUAAAAUCCCCAAUUGGGUAAAAUGCUAGAACUAAACUAAAUUGGAAAUUAAGGAUUUUGAUGUGCAGAAACACAAGUUAAAAUCAGAAGAUGGAUGAAACCUAUUAACAAGUCCAGUGUAGUUAGAAUCCUAAGAAUAGUACUAUUGGAAUCGCGAAGCCAUACACAUAUAGUUUGAUGAAUAGUUUUUUAACCUGAUUCGGAAGAGGAAUCCCAAAUCGGAUGUCGUGUGAUUCGUUUUAUACAAUUCGUGAUGAAGGAACAAACAAUGACAAAAUCAUAAAGAAACAGAUAGGAAAAGAAACUCAAAGAAGAUUAAAUUUCAGUGGAAAAGAUAAACAGCUGAGAAAAUGAAAAAUGAAUAAAAUGAAAAUCACAUACAAAUUGGGAAGGUAUGAGUACUGAGAAGGAGAAGAUGGGAGAAGAUGGGAGAAGAU